GAUGAACGCUAGCGGCAGGCUUAAUACAUGCAAGUCGUGGGGCAGCAUGAGUAGCAAUACUUGAUGGCGACCGGCAAACGGGUGAGGAACACGUACACAACCUUCCUUCAAGCGGGGAAUAGCCCAGAGAAAUUUGGAUUAAUACCCCAUAAUAUAUUUGAUAAGGCAUCUUAUUAAUAUUAAAGCUUCGGCACUUGAUGAUGGGUGUGCGGCUGAUUAGAUAGUUGGCGGGGUAACGGCCCACCAAGUCUACGAUCAGUAGCUGAUGUGAGAGCAUGAUCAGCCACACGGGCACUGAGACACGGGCCCGACUCCUACGGGAGGCAGCAGUAAGGAAUAUUGGACAAUGGACGAAAGUCUGAUCCAGCCAUGCCGCGUGAAGGAUUAAGGUCCUCUGGAUUGUAAACUUCUUUUAUAUGGACGAAAAAGGGACAUUCUUGUUCACUUG
RNAcentral lists this ribosomal RNA (448 nucleotides) under uncultured bacterium. RNAcentral's name for it is "bacterial SSU rRNA". It matches the Rfam family "Bacterial small subunit ribosomal RNA", at positions 28 to 471 of the family's 1533-position model. The record is from RNAcentral.